RNAcentral lists this ribosomal RNA (411 nucleotides) under uncultured beta proteobacterium. RNAcentral describes it as "bacterial SSU rRNA". It matches the Rfam family "Bacterial small subunit ribosomal RNA", at positions 9 to 428 of the family's 1533-position model. Lineage: Bacteria; Pseudomonadati; Pseudomonadota; Betaproteobacteria. The record is from RNAcentral.
GAGUUUGAUCCUGGCUCAGAUUGAACGCUGGCGGCAUGCCUUACACAUGCAAGUCGAACGACGCUAGGGGCAACUCUAGCGAGUGGCGAACGGGUGAGUAAUACAUCGGAACGUGUCCUGUCGUGGGGGAUAACCAGUCGAAAGACUGGCUAAUACCGCAUGACCUCGCAAGAGAAAAGCGGAGGACCGCAAGGCUUCGCGCGAUUGGAGCGGCCGAUGUCGGAUUAGCUAGUUGGCGGGGUAAUGGCCCACCAAGGCGACGAUCCGUAGCUGGUUUGAGAGAACGACCAGCCACACUGGGACUGAGACACGGCCCAGACUCCUACGGGAGGCAGCAGUGGGGAAUUUUGGACAAUGGGGGCAACCCUGAUCCAGCCAUGCCGCGUGUGUGAAGAAGGCCUUCGGUUGUAA